UGGGGAAUAUUGGACAAUGGGCGCAAGCCUGACCCAGCCAUGCCGCGUGAGUGAUGAAGUCCCUAGGGUUGUAAAGCUCUUUCACCGGUGAAGAUAAUGACGUUAACCGGAGAAGAAGCCCCGGCUAACUUCGUGCCAGCAGCCGCGGUAAUACGAAGGGGGCUAGCGUUGUUCGGAUUUACUGGGCGUAAAGCGCACGUAGGCGGACUAUUAAGUCAGGGGUGAAAUCCCGGGGCUCAACCCCGGAACUGCCUUUGAUACUGGUAGUCUUGAGUUCGAGAGAGGUGAGUGGAAUUCCGAGUGUAGAGGUGAAAUUCGUAGAUAUUCGGAGGAACACCAGUGGCGAAGGCGGCUCACUGGCUCGAUACUGACGCUGAGGUGCGAAAGCGUGGGGAGCAAACAGG
Molecule: ribosomal RNA, 404 nt
Filed under: Actinomycetes bacterium
Lineage: Bacteria; Bacillati; Actinomycetota; Actinomycetes
Description: Actinobacteria bacterium partial 16S ribosomal RNA
Rfam family: Bacterial small subunit ribosomal RNA
Source: RNAcentral